AUCGCUUCUUGGCCUUUUGGCUAAGAUCAAGUGUAGUAUUUGUUCUUAUCAGUUUAAUGUCUGAUAUGUCCUUUAUCUGAGGACAAUAUAGUAGUCUAUUUCUGAAACAUCGACCGGGAUGAGAGAUUUCUAUGCCAUUCCAUGCAUUGACUGGUAUUGCAGUACCUCCAGGAAUGGUGUCCGGGGU
Molecule: small nuclear RNA, 187 nt
Filed under: Tupaia belangeri (northern tree shrew)
Lineage: Eukaryota; Metazoa; Chordata; Mammalia; Scandentia; Tupaiidae
Description: U2 spliceosomal RNA (ENSTBEG00000018459.1)
Rfam family: U2 spliceosomal RNA
About the family: U2 is a small nuclear RNA (snRNA) component of the spliceosome (involved in pre-mRNA splicing). Complementary binding between U2 snRNA (in an area lying towards the 5' end but 3' to hairpin I) and the branchpoint sequence (BPS) of the intron results the bulging out of an unpaired adenosine, on the BPS, which initiates a nucleophilic attack at the intronic 5' splice site, thus starting the first of two transesterification reactions that mediate splicing.
Source: RNAcentral